GAAGUUAUAUUCUAUUGGAACACUUGGUGUUGCAACUGCGUUAAGAGCUUUGUCUUGCUCCGCGCAACUAUCUGUGCAGUAAUGUCCGACUAGGUAGCAUGUUCUAUUACAGUGCCUCGAGGUUUUCACCAAUCAGAAGAGACCAUUCCACAUCUUGGAACACUUCAUAAGGAUAUGUUCCUAUAUCAACUUCUCUCAACCAAGGGAACAAGGAAUCCUCGAGUUCCAUUGCAGAUAAAGCGAUUAUCUGACCCAAGAAAACAGUUCUAUGCUGUUCAGGACUUACCUUUGAAAAGAAGAAUCUGAUUUUGGAAUUUGCUGAAGUUUCUGGAGUUACAAUCUCGAGAAAAUGGGAGCCAAGAGUUACGCAUGUAAUUGCAUCAACCAACGAAAAUGGAGCCUGCAAAAGGACACUCAAAUUCAUGAUGGGGAUCCUGGAGGGGAAAUGGAUUCUGAGCAUUGAUUGGAUCAAGGCCUGUAUGAAAGACAGAGAAUAUGUAAGCGAGGAGCUAUAUGAGAUUUCCAUUGAUGUACAUGGAACACGACAAGGACCUUUUACUGGAAGACAAAGAGCUUUGAACAAGGAACCAAAACUUUUUAGUGGGCUGAAGUUUUACAAUCGAGAGCUUGGAUUGAUCUCUCUGUUCCAAGAAGUUUCAAAACAAGGUUUGGUCUGUUCCAAAUACUGCAUCAGAAGCAAGCUACAGCCGAGAAACCAAGUUCAUAAGACCAUAUUAUUAGAAAGUAAUCAUAUUCUAUGUAACAGUAUUGGAAAAAGAGUAACUUACUUUGAUCAUUCCUGCAGCACCUCCCUCGCUGUGAUUUGAAAAAGAUAAAAGGGUUCGUGAUUGAUUUGAAAUUGGAGAUAAAGACGAAAUUGGAUUAAUAUUUAUCCCAAAAUGAAACUCUCUUCGUUUUUUUUCUUUACUGUAAUAAAUUACUCACAUUGAUUUUUUCCCAUAUAAGCCAUAACAUUUUCAUAUU
Brassica napus (rape) is the source of this 984-nucleotide RNA transcript. RefSeq lists it as uncharacterized. The transcript has 4 exons. Lineage: Eukaryota; Viridiplantae; Streptophyta; Magnoliopsida; Brassicales; Brassicaceae. The record is from RefSeq and is a predicted model, not a curated record.